RNAcentral lists this transfer RNA (75 nucleotides) under Paraburkholderia edwinii. Its description in RNAcentral is "tRNA-Val". It matches the Rfam family "tRNA". Rfam says of the family: Transfer RNA (tRNA) molecules are approximately 80 nucleotides in length. Their secondary structure includes four short double-helical elements and three loops (D, anti-codon, and T loops). Lineage: Bacteria; Pseudomonadati; Pseudomonadota; Betaproteobacteria; Burkholderiales; Burkholderiaceae. The record is from RNAcentral.
GGGUGGUUAGCUCAGCGGUAGAGCACUGCCUUCACACGGCAGGGGUCAGGGAUUCGAUCUCCUUACCACCCACCA